This 2050-nucleotide long non-coding RNA is filed under the name Arabidopsis thaliana (thale cress). RNAcentral describes it as "long non-coding RNA (ATHA_LNC000521)". The record is from RNAcentral. Lineage: Eukaryota; Viridiplantae; Streptophyta; Magnoliopsida; Brassicales; Brassicaceae.
UGAUAUUCAAAUUGCUUCUUUUCUAGCUGAUUUAAUGCGCUUCGUUCUAGCUGCAAAUCUCCUCGGCUUCCCUGCCAUAUCAGUCCCGGUAAGACAUUUUUUUUAUCAGUCUCUAACCAAGGCUUAGACAAUCAUGUUACUUAUUUCAUUCUUGCAAUAUAAUCGUAUCUUCUUUCUGAUUAAUCACUCUCUUUUUCUAACUUAUUGGCAAACAAAAAUCAACGCAGGUUGGUUAUGAUAAAGAGGGGCUUCCUAUAGGAUUACAAAUAAUGGGAAGACCUUGGGCCGAAGCUACCGUCCUUGGUUUAGCUGCCGCAGUCGAGGUACUCUCUCUUUUUCUCUCUCUGAUACGUUUUCAAAAGAUCAAGUAGAAACUAGUGCGGUAAGAGGCGGUAAAUAGUAAGAGCGGACUCUGUAACUUGAAUCGAUUUUGGUAUUUCAGGAACUGGCUCCAGUUACCAAGAAACCUGCAAUCUUUUAUGAUAUUCUCAAUACAAACUGAAUUCAUAAGGAUCUUCCACAGAACUGAAAAGGCAAGGAUUGUCUCUGGCUGCGGAAUAUUAUUUAUGUUUACAUUAUAUAAGGUUAAUAUGUCAAUUGAUCUACAAAUCGACGAUUAUUGUGCUAUAAACCGUGUUGGAAUUUCUUACGUCGACUAUGAUUAAUUUUAAAAGAUGUGAAUUAGUCUUGAGCAUACUUGUAAACUUUUAAAAUGCAUUUUGAAAAAAAGUUUAGAAACCUGAAUGCUAAGUAAAUCUACAUAACAAUGCAAAAACGAGUUGAAUUUGUGGAAUCACUAAUGACAAAUGCUAGAUCCAAAAUCCGGUUAGUUUCACAUCGUCUUGCAAAUUUAUUUAUCCAAAUUUCUAUUAUUUAAAAAGCUUUAAAACAUUGUUUUAAAUUCCAUAGAAAAAAAUAAAAAUCUUAUAUAAAAUCAUUAGAAGCUUGAAUGUUAAAUCUACAUAACGAUGCGAAAACAAGUUGAAUUUGUGGAAUCGCUAACGACAAAUGCUGGAUCCAAAAUCCGGUUAGUUUCACAUCGUCUUGUAAAUUUAUUAUCCAAAUUUCUAUUAUUUAAAAAACUUUUAAAAAAUUGUUUUAUUGAAAAACCUUCAAAGUUUUAAUAGUAAUAUAAAAAUAUAAGUUUAAAAAUAUUAUUUAAUAAAUGAAAAAUAAGUGUUAAAAAUCUAAAUUAAGUGUAAACCAUAUUGAAUCUAGAGUACCUCUUAGGGGUUUGGAUGAUGUAUCCAAUUAGUUUACACAAAACAGAAAAAUUUAACAAUUAAUAAAAAACCUUAAAAUUUUAACUAUAAUAUAAAAUAUACAUUUAAAAACAUUUUUUAAUAAGAAACAAGUCGAAAACUAAAAUUUUAUUAUAGAAAAGUUUAAAAAUCUGUAAGAAGUUUUACUAAAAUCCGUAAACUUUAAAACUUUAGCGAAUAAGAAGUUUUAGUUUUAUCAUUAAAAGAAAAUUAAAGAGAAGGGAUGAAAUUGACCUUGGUUUUAUGGGCCGAAAUUGUUUCUUGUUUGGGCUUUGCACAAAGAUCUCUAGUUUUGACAACCGUCAACGGCUAACUAAUCCCGAUCUAUCCACCUUCUCAAGCUUGCUUCUCUUUGAUCAUCUCCGUCGACGAUGUAGCCCCCACCGCGUCAGAAUUCUCCGUAGAAGAGAGAUCGCACACACAUACAUAUGAUCUCGCUUCUAGUUAUUGUAAACAAAGGGCUCAUCUUCCAUCACGCUCUCGUUUCUUGUUGGCGAAAAGCAACGGCAACAAAUCAAAAGAUAUAAAAUAGAAGAAGUAAAGGAAGCAGGAAUCGAAGAAGAUCAUGCUAUAAAAUCAGACUUUGUAUUUGCAAUUCUCGCUCUAUAACUCUGUCUUUCUCUGAUUUGUGAAUUGUGAUGAUGAGACUAUAUUUUGUAGACCCAUCUUCUGUGUAAUUUCCUUUCUUUCAACUCAAGUUUCCUUUUCUCUUGUUACUCUUCUGUUGUUUCCUUUUUUACCCUUUCGUUUGGAAAAUUCCGGAGUAAAAGGUUCGGUGAAUAAGGACG